This is a non-coding RNA of Meleagris gallopavo (turkey), 254 nucleotides long. Lineage: Eukaryota; Metazoa; Chordata; Aves; Galliformes; Phasianidae. The record is from RefSeq and is a predicted model, not a curated record.
AAGGUUCUGAGCUACUCAGACAGCUGCAGCAUAUGAGUCAUUCAGGUUGCAAAUGUCAUCAGGUGCUUCACAUUAUCCCUUUAUCAGGGGUCCUCAAGCAGAUAGGAUCCUUUCCUACACUGCUACCAGACUGCAACUUCUAACUGAACCUUUUACAAGUGUUCUCUAGAAUGAGGCCAAGAAGACAUCCGCGUUCUGGUAUGGCUUUGGUAGAACACAGUUGUAGUGAGUCAAAAUCCUCUGGAAGACGUCUU